AACGAACGCUGGCGGCAGGCCUAACACAUGCAAGUCGAGCGCGCCCUUCGGGGUGAGCGGCGGACGGGUGAGUAACGCGUGGGAACGUGCCCUUCUCUGCGGAACAGCCUCGGGAAACUGAGAGUAAUACCGCAUACGCCCUUUGGGGGAAAGAUUUAUCGGAGAAGGAUCGGCCCGCGUUGGAUUAGGUAGUUGGUGGGGUAAUGGCCCACCAAGCCGACGAUCCAUAGCUGGUUUGAGAGGAUGAUCAGCCACACUGGGACUGAGACACGGCCCAGACUCCUACGGGAGGCAGCAGUGGGGAAUCUUAGACAAUGGGGGCAACCCUGAUCUAGCCAUGCCGCGUGAGUGAUGAAGGCCUUAGGGUUGUAAAGCUCUUUCAGCUGGGAAGAUAAUGACGGUACCAGCAGAAGAAGCCCCGGCUAACUCCGUG
This 433-nucleotide ribosomal RNA is filed under the name uncultured bacterium. RNAcentral's name for it is "partial 16S ribosomal RNA". It matches the Rfam family "Bacterial small subunit ribosomal RNA", at positions 29 to 507 of the family's 1533-position model. The record is from RNAcentral.